CCUUACAUCCGGGGCGACACACGUGUUACAAUGGUAAGGACAAAGGGCAGCUACCUGGCGACAGGAUGCGAAUCUCUAAACCUUAUCACAGUUCGGAUCGGAGUCUGCAACUCGACUCCGUGAAGCUGGAUUCGCUAGUAAUCGCGCAUCAGCCAUGGCGCGGUGAAUACGUUCCCGGGCCUUGUACACACCGCCCGUCAAGCCAUGAAAGCCGGGGGUGCCUGAAGUUCGUAACCGUAAGGAGCGCCCUAGGGCAAAACUGGUAAUUGGGGCUAAGUCGUAACAAGGUAGCCGUACCGGAAGGUGCGGCUGGAACACCUCCUUUCUGGAG
This 331-nucleotide ribosomal RNA is filed under the name Porphyromonadaceae bacterium. Its description in RNAcentral is "bacterial SSU rRNA". It matches the Rfam family "Bacterial small subunit ribosomal RNA", at positions 1200 to 1533 of the family's 1533-position model. Lineage: Bacteria; Pseudomonadati; Bacteroidota; Bacteroidia; Bacteroidales; Porphyromonadaceae. The record is from RNAcentral.